UUUGCAUUAACAAAAACUGCCCCACAUUUCUAUUUUCUAAAUAUCCCACCAUUACACACUUAUUACAUUUUCCUUUUUAAAAUUUAUAAGGCCUAUGAUUAUCUAUAACUAUAGAUAGAGGUAAUACCCUUCACAUAUUAUAAUUAUUCCCAAAAUAAUAAGUAAAAAUAAUUCAAAAUAUAAUUGCACAUAAUAAUUUUCUCUAACUCCUAUAACUCUUUUAGUUUGAACUAACAAAAAUUAUUCCACUUUUCUAUUUUCUAA
This 264-nucleotide long non-coding RNA is filed under the name Lathyrus oleraceus (garden pea). RNAcentral's name for it is "Pisum sativum (pea) long non-coding RNA (PSAT_LNC003642)". Lineage: Eukaryota; Viridiplantae; Streptophyta; Magnoliopsida; Fabales; Fabaceae. The record is from RNAcentral.